Molecule: RNA transcript, 857 nt
Organism: Carlito syrichta (Philippine tarsier)
Lineage: Eukaryota; Metazoa; Chordata; Mammalia; Primates; Tarsiidae
Gene name: dolichyl-diphosphooligosaccharide--protein glycosyltransferase subunit STT3B pseudogene
Exons: 1
Source: RefSeq, a predicted model, not a curated record
UGAGUCAUGUCUUGGUGGGAUUAUGGCUAUCAGACAGCUGGAAUGGCCAAUAGAACUACUUUGCUGGGUAAUAACACCUGGAAUAACAGCCACGUAGCACUGGUGGGAAAAGCUAUGUCUUCUAAUGAAACAGCAGCCUAUAAAAUCAUGAGGACUCUGGAUGUAGAUUAUGUCUUGCUUAUUUUUGGAGGGGUUCUUGGCUAUUCUGGAGAUGAUAUCAAUAAGUUUCUCUGGAUGGUUAGGAUAGCUGAAGGGGAACAUCCAAAAGAUAUUCGGGAAAGCGACUAUUUUACCCCGCAGGGAGAAUUCCGUGCAGACAAAGCAGGAAUCGCCCAUUUUGUUGAAUUGCCUUAUGCAUAAAAUGUCACACUAGAGAUUUGGAGAAAUGCUGCUGGAUUUUCGUACACCCCCAGGUUUUGGCCGAACACGUAAUGCUGAGAUUGGAAACAAGGACAUUAAAUUCAAACAUUUGGAGGAAGCCUUUACAUCAGAACACUGACUUGUCAGGAUAUAUAAAGUUAAAGCACCUGAUAACAGGGAGACCCUAGACCACAAACCUCGAGUCACCAACAUUUUCCCAAAACAGAAGUAUUUGUCAAAAAAAACUACCAAAAGGAAGCAUGGCGACAUUAAAAAUAAGCUGGUUUUUAAGAAAGGCAAAAAAAUACCUAAGAAGACUGUUUAAACACAUUGUUCUGGUUCCUAACUUGAAGCAGUUGUCCUUGUGAGAACCGGUCUUUGCCUUUAGCUCAUGUCGUGUUUCACAGCAACAGAGGGUACAGAACCAUCACGUGUCCAGGUUAAUGUACAAAAUUUUCUGCCAAUGCCUGAUUCAAAAAAUAAAAUUGGUUUGUUGA